GUGGGGAAUAUUGCGCAAUGGGCGAAAGCCUGACGCAGCGACGCCGCGUGCGGGAUGGAGGCCUUCGGGUUGUAAACCGCUUUUAUCGGGGAGCAAGCGAGAGUGAGUGUACCCGUUGAAUAAGCACCGGCUAACUACGUGCCAGCAGCCGCGGUAAUACGUAGGGUGCAAGCGUUAUCCGGAUUUAUUGGGCGUAAAGGGCUCGUAGGCGGUUCGUCGCGUCUGGUGUGAAAGUCCAUCGCUUAACGGUGGAUCUGCGCCGGGUACGGGCGGGCUGGAGUGCGGCAGGGGAGACUGGAAUUCCCGGUGUAACGGUGGAAUGUGUAGAUAUCGGGAAGAACACCAAUGGCGAAGGCAGGUCUCUGGGCCGUUACUGACGCUGAGGAGCGAAAGCGUGGGGAGCGAACAGGAUUAGAAACCCCUGUAGUCC
RNAcentral lists this ribosomal RNA (430 nucleotides) under uncultured bacterium. RNAcentral describes it as "bacterial SSU rRNA". It matches the Rfam family "Bacterial small subunit ribosomal RNA", at positions 354 to 796 of the family's 1533-position model. The record is from RNAcentral.